AUUGAACGCUGGCGGCAGGCCUAACACAUGCAAGUCGAGCGGAUGAAGGGAGCUUGCUCCUGGAUUCGGCGGCGGACGGGUGAGUAAUGCCUAGGAAUCUGCCUGGUAGUGGGGGAUAACGUCCGGAAACGGGCGCUAAUACCGCAUACGUCCUGAGGGAGAAAGUGGGGGAUCUUCGGACCUCACGCUAUCAGAUGAGCCUAGGUCGGAUUAGCUAGUUGGUGGGGUAAAGGCCUACCAAGGCGACGAUCCGUAACUGGUCUGAGAGGAUGAUCAGUCACACUGGAACUGAGACACGGUCCAGACUCCUACGGGAGGCAGCAGUGGGGAAUAUUGGACAAUGGGCGAAAGCCUGAUCCAGCCAUGCCGCGUGUGUGAAGAAGGUCUUCGGAUUGUAAAGCACUUUAAGUUGAGAGGAAGGGCAGUAAGUUAAUACCUUGCUGUUUUGACGUUACCAACAGAAUAAGCACCGGCUAACUUCGUG
This 484-nucleotide ribosomal RNA is filed under the name uncultured bacterium. RNAcentral describes it as "partial 16S ribosomal RNA". It matches the Rfam family "Bacterial small subunit ribosomal RNA", at positions 30 to 507 of the family's 1533-position model. The record is from RNAcentral.